AGCAGCCGCGGUAAUUCCAGCUCCAAUAGCGUAUAUUAAAGUUGUUGCAGUUAAAAAGCUCGUAGUUGAAUUUCGGAAUCAAUGGAUCGGUCAUGCCACUCGGUGUGUACUGGUUUGAUUGGUUCUCACCUUCUAAGGAACCGUGAUGUCAUUAAUUUGGUGUCGCGGGGAAUUAGGACUGUUACCUUGAAAAAAUUAGAGUGUUUAAAGCAAGCUCACGCUUGAAUACAUUAGCAUGGAAUAAUGAAAUAGGACAUUGUAUUCUAUUUUGUUGGUUUCUAGGAUCGAUGUAAUGAUUAAUAGGGAUAGUUGGGGGCAUUAGUAUUCAAUUGUCAGAGGUGAAAUUCUUGGAUUUAUUGAAGACUAACUACUGCGAAAGCAUUUGCCAAGGAUGUUUUCAUUAAUCAAGAACGAAAGUUAGGGGAUCGAAGACGAUCAGAUACCGUCGUAGUCUUAACCAUAAACUAUGCCGACUAGGGAUCGGAUGAUGUUAAUUUUUAAUGAC
This 505-nucleotide ribosomal RNA is filed under the name uncultured Glomus. Its description in RNAcentral is "SSU rRNA". It matches the Rfam family "Eukaryotic small subunit ribosomal RNA", at positions 569 to 1075 of the family's 1831-position model. The record is from RNAcentral. Lineage: Eukaryota; Fungi; Glomeromycota; Glomeromycetes; Glomerales; Glomeraceae.